RNAcentral lists this long non-coding RNA (66 nucleotides) under Anas platyrhynchos platyrhynchos (common mallard). RNAcentral's name for it is "lncRNA (ENSAPLG00000016575.1)". Lineage: Eukaryota; Metazoa; Chordata; Aves; Anseriformes; Anatidae. The record is from RNAcentral.
ACGAGCAAAGAUUCCCAAUGAACAAAGAAAACAAAUAGCCCCUGGGACCACAAGUGUGUUCUGUAA